This 492-nucleotide ribosomal RNA is filed under the name uncultured bacterium. RNAcentral describes it as "partial 16S ribosomal RNA". It matches the Rfam family "Bacterial small subunit ribosomal RNA", at positions 29 to 507 of the family's 1533-position model. The record is from RNAcentral.
AGUGAACGCUGGCGGUAGGCCUAACACAUGCAAGUCGAACGGCAGCACAGUAAGAGCUUGCUCUUACGGGAGGCGAGUGGCGGACGGGUGAGGAAUACAUCGGAAUCUACUUUUUCGUGGGGGAUAACGUAGGGAAACUUACGCUAAUACCGCAUACGACCUACGGGUGAAAGCAGGGGAUCUUCGGACCUUGCGCGAUUGAAUGAGCCGAUGUCGGAUUAGCUAGUUGGCGGGGUAAAGGCCCACCAAGGCGACGAUCCGUAGCUGGUCUGAGAGGAUGAUCAGCCACACUGGAACUGAGACAAGGUCCAGACUCCUACGGGAGGCAGCAGUGGGGAAUAUUGGACAAUGGGCGCAAGCCUGAUCCAGCCAUACCGCGUGGGUGAAGAAGGCCUUCGGGUUGUAAAGCCCUUUUGUUGGGAAAGAAAAGCAGCAGGUUAAUACCCCGCUGUUCUGACGGUACCCAAAGAAUAAGCACCGGCUAACUUCGUG